CUCCAUAUCGGCGGUGGAAACUGAUGAACUAGAGGGUGGUAGGGGUCACGGGAAUUCCCAGUGUAGCGGUGAAAUGCGUAGAUAUUGGGAAGAACACCAGCGGCGAAAGCGCGUGACUGGGCCAUUACUGACACUCAUGGACGAAAGCUAGGGGAGCGAAAGGGAUUAGAUACCCCUGUAGUCCUAGCCGUAAACGAUGGACACUAGGUGUUGCCCGAUCGACCCGGGCAGUGCCGUAGCUAACGCGUUAAGUGUCCCGCCUGGGGAGUACGCACGCAAGUGUGAAACUCAAAGGAAUUGACGGGGGCCCGCACAAGCGGUGGAGUAUGUGGUUUAAUUCGAUGCAACGCGAAGAACCUUACCAGGGCUUGACAUGUCGCGAAUCCCCUUGAAAGGGGGGAGUGCCUUCGGGAGCGCGAGCACAGGUGGUGCAUGGCUGUCGUCAGCUCGUGUCGUGAGAUGUUGGGUUAAGUCCCGCAACGAGCGCAACCCACGUUUCUAGUUGCCAGCAUUCAGUUGGGCACUUUAGAGAGACUGCCGGUGACAAACCGGAGGAAGGUGCGGAUGACGUCAAGUCAGCAUGCCCCUUACGUCCUGGGCUACACACGUACUACAAUGCUUCGGACAGAGGGUUGCCAGCCCGCGAGGGUGCGCUAAUCCCGUAAACCGAGGCUCAGUUCAGAUUGCAGGCUGCAACUCGCCUGCAUGAAGGCGGAAUCGCUAGUAAUCGCCGGUCAGCAUACGGCGGUGAAUACGUUCCCGGGCCUUGUACACACCGCCCGUCACACCAUGGGAGUUGGCCACGCCCGAAG
This 812-nucleotide ribosomal RNA is filed under the name uncultured cyanobacterium. RNAcentral's name for it is "bacterial SSU rRNA". It matches the Rfam family "Bacterial small subunit ribosomal RNA", at positions 613 to 1426 of the family's 1533-position model. The record is from RNAcentral. Lineage: Bacteria; Bacillati; Cyanobacteriota.